UCUGACCUCAAAUCAGGUAGGAUUACCCGCUGAACUUAAGCAUAUCAAUAAGCGGAGGAAAAGAAACUAACAAGGAUUCCCUUAGUAACUGCGAGUGAAACGGGAAAAGCUCAAAUUUUAAAUCUGGCAGUCAGUUUUUUCUUCUUUGGCUGUCCGAGUUGUAAUCUAGAGAAGUGUUUACCAGUACUGGACCGUGUAUAAGUCUCCUGGAAUGGAGUGUCACAGAGGGUGAGAAUCCCGUCUUUGACAUGGGCUACCAGUGCGUUGUGGUGCGCUCUCAAAGAGUCGAGUUGUUUGGGAAUGCAGCUCUAAAUGGGUGGUAAACUCCAUC
This 331-nucleotide ribosomal RNA is filed under the name Amanita sp. 'IN02'. RNAcentral's name for it is "partial 28S ribosomal RNA". It matches the Rfam family "Eukaryotic large subunit ribosomal RNA", at positions 1 to 310 of the family's 3401-position model. The record is from RNAcentral. Lineage: Eukaryota; Fungi; Basidiomycota; Agaricomycetes; Agaricales; Amanitaceae.